RNAcentral lists this ribosomal RNA (544 nucleotides) under Rufibacter ruber. RNAcentral's name for it is "bacterial SSU rRNA". It matches the Rfam family "Bacterial small subunit ribosomal RNA", at positions 331 to 873 of the family's 1533-position model. Lineage: Bacteria; Pseudomonadati; Bacteroidota; Cytophagia; Cytophagales; Hymenobacteraceae. The record is from RNAcentral.
UGGGGGGCCUACGGGAGGCAGCAGUAGGGAAUAUUGGGCAAUGGGCGGAAGCCUGACCCAGCCAUGCCGCGUGCAGGAUGAAGGCCUUCUGGGUUGUAAACUGCUUUUACCAGGGAAGAAAACACCCAUGCGUGGGGAACUGACGGUACCUGGGGAAUAAGCACCGGCUAACUCCGUGCCAGCAGCCGCGGUAAUACGGAGGGUGCAAGCGUUGUCCGGAUUUAUUGGGUUUAAAGGGUGCGUAGGCGGCCCCUUAAGUCAGCGGUGAAAGCCCGGGGCUCAACCCCGGAACUGCCGUUGAUACUGGGGGGCUUGAGUACAGACGAGGUAGGCGGAAUUGAGGAUGUAGCGGUGAAAUGCUUAGAUAUCCUCAAGAACACCGAUUGCGUAGGCAGCUUACUAGGCUGUAACUGACGCUGAGGCACGAAAGCGUGGGGAGCGAACAGGAUUAGAUACCCUGGUAGUCCACGCCGUAAACGAUGACUACUCGAUGUCGGCGACAAACUGUCGGCGUCUUAGCGAAAGCGUUAAGUAGUCCAUCCGC